This 109-nucleotide ribosomal RNA is filed under the name Acanthosepion pharaonis. The record is from RNAcentral. Lineage: Eukaryota; Metazoa; Mollusca; Cephalopoda; Sepiida; Sepiidae.
UUACGGCCAUAUCACGUUCCAACACCGGUUCCCGUACGAUCACCGAAGUUAAGCCAUGUCGAGUCUGGUCAGUAUCUAGAUGAUUGACCGCUUGGAAAUACCUGGUGCC